GACACUGCAACAAUGUCUUAAUCUCUGAGACGGAGAAAAUGUCAGACAGCGAGAAUUCUUCGAUAGAGCACUGACGAUCCAUCACUGUUUUCCUUCAUUGAUCUUGGUGGGAGUCACUCUCGUGAUGGCAAUCUCGGUGCCAAUUACGGUGGUUCCAACGGGACACUUGAUGGCAGGACGGGGGAGGCACCGCCACUUCUAGGCGACCAAUAGUAUUCUCGGCAGCAUUGUCUGCAAUCUCCCGACUCUGUCAGCCAGCAACAACCACAAUAGCAUUUAUCUGCUUGCUUUUGAGAAAGAUUGUCAACGUAUUCGUAGUAAACA
This is a long non-coding RNA of Glycine soja, 324 nucleotides long. RefSeq lists it as uncharacterized. Lineage: Eukaryota; Viridiplantae; Streptophyta; Magnoliopsida; Fabales; Fabaceae. The transcript is spliced from 2 exons. The record is from RefSeq and is a predicted model, not a curated record.